UGGGCCAAAUCGUCACCGCUUCGCUGUCGUUUGGGAGAAA
This 40-nucleotide transfer RNA is filed under the name Thalassiosira minuscula. RNAcentral's name for it is "partial Selenocysteine transfer RNA". The record is from RNAcentral. Lineage: Eukaryota; Bacillariophyta; Thalassiosirophyceae; Thalassiosirales; Thalassiosiraceae.